Molecule: ribosomal RNA, 490 nt
Filed under: uncultured bacterium
Lineage: Bacteria
Description: partial 16S ribosomal RNA
Rfam family: Bacterial small subunit ribosomal RNA
Source: RNAcentral
AUUGAACGCUGGCGGCAGGCCUAACACAUGCCAGUCGAACGGUAACAGGGAUCAGCUUGCUGAUUCGCUGACGAGUGGCGGACGGGUGAGUAAUGUCUGGGAAACUGCCUGAUGGAGGGGGAUAACUACUGGAAACGGUAGCUAAUACCGCAUAACGUCGCAAGACCAAAGAGGGGGACCUUCGGGCCUCUUGCCAUCGGAUGUGCCCAGAUGGGAUUAGCUAGUAGGUGGGGUAACGGCUCACCUAGGCGACGAUCCCUAGCUGGUCUGAGAGGAUGACCAGCCACACGGGAACUGAGACACGGUCCAGACUCCUACGGGAGGCAGCAGUGGGGAAUAUUGCACAAUGGGCGCAAGCCUGAUGCAGCCAUGCCGCGUGUAUGAAGAAGGCCUUCGGGUUGUAAAGUACUUUCAGCGGGGAGGAAGGGAGUAAAGUUAAUACCUUUGCUCAUUGACGUUACCCGCAGAAGAAGCACCGGCUAACUCCGUG